UACGAGAGGCCCAAACGUUAUUCGGAAUUACUGGGCUUAAAGAGUUCGUAGGCGGUGCAGAAAGUAGGGUGUGAAAGCCCUCGGCUUAACCGAGGAAUUGCGCUCUAAACUACUGUGCUCGAGGAACCUAGAGGUGAGCAGAACUGAUGGUGGAGCGGUGAAAUGCGUUGAUAUCAUCAGGAAUACCGGAGGCGAAGGCGGCUCACUGGGGGUUUUCUGACGCUGAGGAACGAAAGCCAGGGGAGCGAACGGG
RNAcentral lists this ribosomal RNA (253 nucleotides) under uncultured bacterium. Its description in RNAcentral is "partial 16S ribosomal RNA". It matches the Rfam family "Bacterial small subunit ribosomal RNA", at positions 524 to 776 of the family's 1533-position model. The record is from RNAcentral.